This 3243-nucleotide small RNA is filed under the name Pongo abelii (Sumatran orangutan). RNAcentral's name for it is "retained intron". Lineage: Eukaryota; Metazoa; Chordata; Mammalia; Primates; Hominidae. The record is from RNAcentral.
GGCAUGGUGGUGUGCACCUGUAGUCCCAGCUACUCAGGAGGCUGAGGUGGGAGGACUGCAUGAGCCCAGGAGUUCAAGUCCAACCUGGGCAACAUAGCGAGACUGUCUUCUCACAAAAAAAUGUUAUUUGUUUAUUUAUUUUUAGACGGAGUCUCACUCUGUCACCAGGCUGGAGUGCAAUGGCGCGAUCUUGGCUCACUGCAACCUCCACCUCCCAGCUUCAAGUGAUUCUCCUGCCUCAGCCUCCCGAGUAACCGGGAUUACAGGAGCGUGCCACCACGUCUGACUAAUUUUUUAUAUUUUUAGUAGAGACAGGGUUUUACCAUGUUGGCCAGGCAUGAGCCACUGCGCCCGGCCCAAAAAAUUCUUUUAACUAAAAAAAAAUUGUUUAAAAAAAUACUGCAAUGAGAGAAGAGCUGAAGUGUGGAAGAAAUGAAUGUUUUCAGAAAAAGAAGGGUGAUGACAUGAAGCUGCAGGCUGGAAGCUGGAGCGCACAGUAGAACGUGAGGCUGUAAAGACAGGCUGAGGUUGGCUUGGGAAGGGUCUCAUGGGCCUUCUAGGGAGUCUGGGCUGUACUCAAGUUUGACAAAGUGCAUAGGUUAAGCAGGGCCAGACUGGAGGGAAGGGAGGCAGAAAGGAGAAGAACCCAUCAGGCUGUUGCAGCCCCACUCUUAGUGAGGAUAGUGAGGCUACAGUCAGUAAUGGCCAGGAUGUUUAGGAAGUGGAUUGGUAAGGCUUGGUGACUGUCAGGGGCAAGUAGUUUGCAAACCUGAAAGGCAUAUCGCCCGCCAGAAGCUCACCUGAUUAGGAUUGUGGAGAAAAAGAAAAUUCAAGGGAACUAUUUAAUAGGCUCCUUGGGAGAAGAUGAGAGGGGUUAUUUGACCAUAAGAAGACAAGGCUAAGGGAUUAUUAACAUAGGAAGCCUUAUAAUAAAAACGUUUCCCUCUGAAGUCAGACAAGGAAAUUAAAGCUAACUUGUAGCACGUAGGACUCUAGAUAGGAGAAGGAAUCGCUAACCACAUGACAACUAUGUUAUAGGUAUUGAAGAAACACAGAAGAACUUUUUUUUUUUUUUUUUUUUUUUUUUGAGACAGGGUCUCACUCUGUCACCCAGGCUGGAGUGCAGUGGCACGAUCAUGCCUCACUAUAGCCUCUGCCCCCUGGGCUCAGGUGAUCCUCACAACUCAGCCCCCCCAAGUAGCUGGGACUACAGGCAUGCACCACCAUGUCUGGCUUUUUGUAGAGACAGGGUUUCGCAUAUUGCAGGCUAGUCUCAAACUCCUGGGCUCAAGCAUUCUACCCGCCUUGGCCUCCCAGAGUGCUAGGAUUACAGGCAUGAGCCAUCGCGCCCAGAAGAGCUUAUUCUAAAAUUGAACUUCUUGCCCCUCUAAGUACUGUCAUGCCAUGGGUGGAGAAAUUUAGGAAAGUUCUAGAAAUCCCUCCCUAAAGAAUUUCAAAUGUGUAAGAACAUUUAAAAAGUGUUAAGGCAAUUUAAGUGAGUUCUGAGUAAUUGGUACACAAAAAGCUGUUAGUACUGCUCAUCUUGAUUCAAACAUUAAGCCAAGAGGCUUACAAGUAAACUCAGAACAGUGAGAUAAAUGAUAGGCCAAAAAUUCCAGGAACUGCUGAGUCAGGAGAGCGUUUUUCAAGACAUCUGGCCCCAAGAAAAUCUACUUAAAGCAUAAGGAGAACUGGCUGACAAUUUCUGAACCCCUGGUGAUUAUAUUUGAAAGCUUAGGGGAGGGCUCAAAGCAAGAAAAACAUGGGAAGAUGGGGGUGACCGUUGUCCUCCUGGACUGCAAGCUGCAUCUCAACAGAACUUGGGAUGCUGCUUGGACCCUAGAAAAGGCAGACUGUAUGAGAGGCAUAGCAUGCUUCAGGCCAAGACUGGAAUGCCAGAGCAGGGGAGAGAGACUCCAAACCAGGCCAGCCAGGUAGGAGGGCAACUGAGAAGCAGUGGAACGAGAGGCAUAGGAUUCAGGGCCCAAGUGCCCUUAAGGUCGGUGUGGGCUCUCCCUUCUCGGUAUAUCUGCAACUAAACAGGACUGGGGUUGUGCGUCCCUCUCUGGUGUGAUGAAAAGUGACUGGGGCUGCACAGCCAACUCCUGAUGACCCGCCUGGAACAAGUCACUUCACUGUUGAGCCCCAUGCUGCUUCUCCUAAUGCUUAGUUCUCAGGACAGUACUGGAAUUAAAUGAUAACGUAAGACCUAGCACAGAGCCUGGCCAAUCACUAGAUUUCACGUGUGAACAGUUGUUCUGUCCCACGUCCCCCUUUCUAACAUGGGACUAAGAAUUAUUCCCCCAUCCUACUUCUCCCUCAGUGUAAGCAAUAUAAGGAUUUUGAGUAUCAAGUUCUGAGGCCUGGACACAGAAACAUUCUCAUUAUUAUUACUAUUGUUAUUAUUUUCCCUCCAGCAGUCCUGUCUCCUUCCCUCCCAAUCCAUGGCACCCCUUCCAUUCCACAUCAACCUUGUCCUGGGCCCCUGUGGCCUGUCAUUUAGAGCUGCCCCUCGUCCAUCAAGUCCAAUCUCUUUUCUCCCCACACUGCAGACUCACACUAUCUUCUCACUGCUGGGAGUGGACCAUGCUUAUGUCACCAGUAUUGGCAGACUCAUUGGAAUCGUUACUCUAAAGGAGCUCCGGAAGGCCAUCGAGGGCUCUGUCACAGCACAGGGUGUGAAAGUCCGGCCGCCACUCGCCAGCUUCCGAGACAGUGCCACCAGCAGCAGUGACACGGAGACCACUGAGGUGCAUGCACUCUGGGGGCCCCACUCCCAUCAUGGCCUCCCCCGGGAGGGCAGCCCUUCCGACAGCGACGACAAAUGCCAAUGAGCCCCUCGUGGGUGGCCUAGGAUGGUGCUAGCCAUGCCCGUCAGCCCAGAAUGUGCAUAUUUCAUUCCUUCUGCCUUGGGAAGGCAGGAGGCAGCUACAGCUGGAGGCUGCACCCCAGCCUCCUCCAGACCUGGGGUGCCAGCUUCUCCCAGUUCAUCCUACCUGGAAUCUGACCCACUGCCCACCUGCAGCAAGUUUUCCAGGGGCAGGAAGAUCGGCCCUGCCUUGGCAGGAUGGGUUGGGGUCACUUGACCCCUGCUCCCCCUCUGAGGGGAAAGGGGUGGAACUAAGAUGGGUUUAUAACUGGAACCUCCAAUGACCAGAUGUAUAUAGAGAUUUACAAAGAUUUUUAUAUUAAUUUAAUAAAACAAAUUCUUAAAUAGAACAAAAUAAACACCUAAUGAGCCAC